Molecule: long non-coding RNA, 1199 nt
Organism: Hemicordylus capensis (graceful crag lizard)
Lineage: Eukaryota; Metazoa; Chordata; Lepidosauria; Squamata; Cordylidae
Exons: 2
Source: RefSeq, a predicted model, not a curated record
UCCAGUUCUUUAUAAGGCCACCCCACAGGCUAGGAAAAUCACUCCUUUCCAAGCUGCCUAGAUCCGAGAGAGCUGCUGCUGGCUGAGACAGUGUGUGAUGUCUCUGGUCUUCAGCAAGGUUUGCCUUAUUGGAUUUUUAAAAACUGCUUGUUGGGUUUUUGUCUUCCCUGGCUGGCUGUUACAAUUUUUUAAAAGCAGUGUGCCUUACUCCUGCCCUGUUGCUGCCCAGUCAGCCUGCCAGGCCCUGUGCCUGCCCUGCUGGGCCUAGUCUUAGGCCUUUGGCUAUUUUUUAAAAUUUCAAUAUAAUUUUUCCCUAGUUGGCUGCUGCUUUUAAUUUUUAUUUUAAAAAUGCAGCUGUGCCUGGCCCCUGCCUCCUGCUGCCAGUUCCCAGCUCCAGCAAGCCAGGCUCUCUGGGUCCUGCUGGGCCCACGCUUGGGCAUUGGCCCUGCUGCUGCAGUUUAUAUUUUUUAAUUUUUAACUGCAGCACUGGGUCUGAAAGUGAGAGAGAGGCUUUAUUUUUUCUCUCUGAUUUAAAUUAUCUUGCUUUUUUGCCUUUUGUUUUGUUUUAUACUUUGGUUAUUUUCUGUUUGGGUGGAUGGCCCUGCUGGACCCCAUCUGCCCUCCCUCUGGCUAUGAUCAUGUGCCAGGAGCUACUCUGUUGGGCCUGCAGUCCCUGGCCUCCCAUCCAGCCAAAGACUUAUGGACAACGAAGGAGUGAUCCCAGCCAAUCAGGGAUCAUGUGAUGAACCUUAUGCCAUCGUUGCACUUCCCUAAAGACAAAUGGGAGAAAGGGCAGUGUUUCCUACAUCAGUCACAUGGAAGAUCCUUCACAAUCAGAUCAGUGAUUGUUCAUCAAUCAGCAUGGAUGAGUGGUGGUGCCCAUUUAUGAAACAAUCCUGAAAAAUAUCGUGGAAAGGGAGUGGCUGUUCUGUGAUACCAAAAACAUCCAUAAAAAGCACCAUCUAUAUUCAGCUCAGCCCUGGUUUCAUCCACUACCCUUUAUAUGACCCUUGCUUGGAGUUCUUAAUGGGAUUGGUGCUGAACUUGAUAGGAGCUGAACUCCUGAUAUGCUAAAACACUGCUGAAAAAUGUGCAGCUGGCUUGUAUAAUUCCCUGAAUUACAUUUCUGUUCUUGUGCGGUGUAUGUGAUUUGAAGCGCUGCAUAUCUGUUAUUAAAAAUACUCCCAUUGUUGCCUGUU